Molecule: unclassified non-coding RNA, 263 nt
Filed under: plant metagenome
Description: partial contains small subunit ribosomal RNA, internal transcribed spacer 1, and 5.8S ribosomal RNA
Source: RNAcentral
UUUCCGUAGGUGAACCUGCGGAAGGAUCAUUAUUGUAUAACCGAGGUGCGAGGGCUGUCGCUGACCCGAAAGGGCGUGCACGCCCGAGUGCCCUCACACACAUCCAUCUCAACCCUAUUUGCACCACCGCGUGGGUCCCCCUUUGGCUUGUUCGGAGGGGGGCUUACGUUUUCACACAAACUUUGUAUGCAGUGUAGAAUGUAUUUUUUGUUUUUGCGAUCACGCAAUCAAUACAACUUUCAACAACGGAUCUCUUGGCUCUC